AGAUGCUCAUUCCAUCUCUUAUGUUCGCCUUAAGGCCUCAUAAACUCAGGAAUGACGCAGAGCCGUUUACGGUGCUUAUCGUCCACUGACAGAUGUCGCUUCGGCCUCAUCAGACACCAUGGACACAACGUUGAGUGAAGCACCAAAUA
RNAcentral lists this unclassified non-coding RNA (149 nucleotides) under Enterobacter hormaechei. RNAcentral describes it as "GlmY_tke1". It matches the Rfam family "GlmZ RNA activator of glmS mRNA", at positions 3 to 156 of the family's 214-position model. Rfam says of the family: This RNA was discovered in E. coli during a large scale screen. The sraJ gene was expressed in early logarithmic phase, but its level decreased with cell growth. RNAcentral also lists the same sequence under 2 other names. Lineage: Bacteria; Pseudomonadati; Pseudomonadota; Gammaproteobacteria; Enterobacterales; Enterobacteriaceae. The record is from RNAcentral.